CCUACGGGGCUGCAGUGGGGAAUAUUGGACAAUGGGCGAAAGCCUGAUCCAGCCAUGCCGCGUGUGUGAAGAAGGCCUUCGGGUUGUAAAGCACUUUCAGUGGGGAAGAAAGCCUUGGGGCUAAUACCCUCGAGGAAGGACAUCACCCACAGAAGAAGCACCGGCUAACUCCGUGCCAGCAGCCGCGGUAAUACGGAGGGUGCGAGCGUUAAUCGGAAUUACUGGGCGUAAAGCGCGCGUAGGCGGUCUGAUAAGCCGGUUGUGAAAGCCCCGGGCUCAACCUGGGAACGGCAUCCGGAACUGUCAGGCUAGAGUGCAGGAGAGGAAGGUAGAAUUCCCGGUGUAGCGGUGAAAUGCGUAGAGAUCGGGAGGAAUACCAGUGGCGAAGGCGGCCUUCUGGACUGACACUGACGCUGAGGUGCGAAAGCGUGGGUAGCAAACAGGAUUAGAUACCCCAGUAGUC
Molecule: ribosomal RNA, 463 nt
Filed under: Vreelandella stevensii
Lineage: Bacteria; Pseudomonadati; Pseudomonadota; Gammaproteobacteria; Oceanospirillales; Halomonadaceae
Description: partial 16S ribosomal RNA
Rfam family: Bacterial small subunit ribosomal RNA
Source: RNAcentral